Molecule: unclassified non-coding RNA, 231 nt
Filed under: Hevea brasiliensis (rubber tree)
Lineage: Eukaryota; Viridiplantae; Streptophyta; Magnoliopsida; Malpighiales; Euphorbiaceae
Source: RNAcentral
AUCUACUAUGACUCGUGAAGAACUUAUGUCUUUCAUCUCCCUGAUGGAUUAUUCCGUUUCACAAACAUUUCCAAUGGAUCCAAUGAAACAGCUACCAAUGACAAAUAUUGAUGGAUUUGGCAACUACAAUCUUGAAGUGCGGGGUGCACCUGGCUCAUACUUAAGUAACAGCAGCGUUCUUAACCUAUAUUUUCUAGAUAGUGGAGAUAGAGCUAUUGUUGACGGUGUCCG